UUACGGUCAUAUCAUGUUGCAAUACCGGUUCCCGUACGAUCUCCAAAGUUAAGCUACGUUGAGCCUGGUCAUUACUUAGAUGGGUAACCGCUUGGGAAUGGCAGGUUCUGUAAG
Non-coding RNA from Acanthosepion pharaonis, 114 nucleotides. The record is from the annotation of a GenBank genome assembly. NCBI's taxonomy places the organism in Eukaryota, Metazoa, Mollusca, Cephalopoda, Sepiida, Sepiidae.